This 30-nucleotide non-coding RNA is filed under the name Homo sapiens (human). The record is from RNAcentral. Lineage: Eukaryota; Metazoa; Chordata; Mammalia; Primates; Hominidae.
UUGCCGUCUGCUGUGUGAGUGAAGGUGACA